Molecule: transfer RNA, 73 nt
Filed under: Pteropus alecto (black flying fox)
Lineage: Eukaryota; Metazoa; Chordata; Mammalia; Chiroptera; Pteropodidae
Also listed under: 1 other name
Rfam family: tRNA
About the family: Transfer RNA (tRNA) molecules are approximately 80 nucleotides in length. Their secondary structure includes four short double-helical elements and three loops (D, anti-codon, and T loops).
Source: Rfam by way of RNAcentral
GGUUCUAUAGUAGAGUGGUUAGCACGUCUGCUUCACACACAGAAGGUCCUUGGUUUGCGCCCCAGUGGAGCCA